This 592-nucleotide unclassified non-coding RNA is filed under the name Hevea brasiliensis (rubber tree). Lineage: Eukaryota; Viridiplantae; Streptophyta; Magnoliopsida; Malpighiales; Euphorbiaceae. The record is from RNAcentral.
AUUUUCAGAUCAGAAUUAAUCCAGCUGUUUCUCCCACCAAAGCCAAUAUAAUUAAAAAUGUUAAGUUCCAGUGACCAGAAACUUGCUCACAUAGCUCUCCUCCCAAGUGCAGGCAUGGGUCAUCUCACACCCUUCUUUAGGCUUGCUGCUUUACUCGCAGGCAAUAAUAUCAAAGUAACAUUCAUCACUCCUAGUCCAACAGUCUCCUUGGCUGAGUCACAGACCUUAUUUCGCUUCUUCGCUUCCUUUCCGGAAAUCAAUCAAAAGCAGUUUCAUCUCCUUCCUCUUGACAAGCAUCCCUCCAACUCAGAAGACCCUUUCUAUUACCAUAUGGAACGAAUUUGUCAAUCCUCUCACCUUCUUUCUUCCCUGCUUUCUUCACUAUCUCCACCUCUCUCUGCUCUUAUCACAGACAUGAGCUUGGCCUCUCCUGCUAUUUCAAUCACUCAAGCUCUUAAUCUUCCUAAUUAUGUUUUCUUCACAUCAUCUGCUAAAAUGUCAACACUCUUUAUGUCCUUCCAUGCCUUGAUCGAUUCAGAAGCCACAACUGAUUUAGAUGAGAUUGAAGCCAUCAAAAUUCCUGGACUAGAAG